RNAcentral lists this ribosomal RNA (252 nucleotides) under uncultured bacterium. RNAcentral's name for it is "partial 16S ribosomal RNA". It matches the Rfam family "Bacterial small subunit ribosomal RNA", at positions 524 to 776 of the family's 1533-position model. The record is from RNAcentral.
UACGUAGGGUGCGAGCGUUGUCCGGAAUUAUUGGGCGUAAAGAGCUUGUAGGCGGUCUGUCGCGUCUGCUGUGAAAAUCCGGGGCUCAACCCCAAGUCUGCAGUGGAUACGGGCAGACUAGAGUCAGGUAGGGGAGAACGGAAUUCCUGGUGUAGCGGUGAAAUGCGUAGAUAUCGGAAGGAACACCAGUGGCGAAAGCGGCUUCCUGGUCCAGCACCGACGUCAGGCACGAAAGCGUGGGGAGCAAACAGG